UUGACCUCCUAUCAUGUAGGACUACUCCCUGAACAUCUUCA
RNAcentral lists this ribosomal RNA (41 nucleotides) under Calocybe pilosella. Its description in RNAcentral is "partial 28S ribosomal RNA". The record is from RNAcentral. Lineage: Eukaryota; Fungi; Basidiomycota; Agaricomycetes; Agaricales; Lyophyllaceae.